ACCGCUUUUAUCGCAUCUCCGCCGUUCCUCCCGUCUUCCGCCUCUGUAGCCGAGAAUUCUAUCUCCUGACGGCGAGAAUCUCCGGCGAGUUUUCCUACCCGAACCCGAGAACUCGACAUCGGCCAAUCCAAACUGGAGUCCGACCGGUUCCAAUCAUGAGACCUGGAACAUUCAAUUUCGUGAACGAGAGUCCAGCAAUGAAGCAAAAUGCUUGACGAUCCUUAUGUCCACCCGAUUUUCACAGCAACGGAACUCCGAACUUGAACCGCCGUAGUUUUGGAUUCAGGAAUCCGACUUCGAUCCUGAACACAGACGUAGAGUAGGAACAUGAGGGACCUUACGAAGGAAAAAAAAAACAUAUUAAAUAUUGGCUCUGAAUAUCACAUUUCCUAAUUUAUUAUCCUAUUUAAUGCAACAUUUAUGUCGAUCCCUACAUUAUACCAAUCAGCGAAGAUUUCUCUCCGUUCUCCUCGUCAAACGUGCAAUGGAUAGUCAUUUUAUGUGCUAACAAGUAACUAAUACUUGUUAUUAUAUGGUUUUU
This is a long non-coding RNA of Tarenaya hassleriana, 541 nucleotides long. RefSeq lists it as uncharacterized. The transcript is spliced from 3 exons. The record is from RefSeq and is a predicted model, not a curated record. NCBI's taxonomy places the organism in Eukaryota, Viridiplantae, Streptophyta, Magnoliopsida, Brassicales, Cleomaceae.